AGGGGACUAGGAGAAAUCGAAUUAUGAAGUACUUCGGUGAACAUUUGUGCAAUUCUAGAAGAAAACUGUAUGUAAAGUUUAUAUUGCCCAAUAUGGGUAAACUUGUUAAACUCAAUACAAUUCCUAAACAAUAUCGUGUGUUGCUGAACCAAGAACAAUUGACAACUUCGUAGAGUGGAGGCUGUCUUCUGAAUGCAAGUCUGGAAAAAACAAACAAAAAUCUCUUGCAUCUGCCACUUAACUCUCCGAACGAAUCUAAAAGACGAACUUUCAACGAUUGGCAAAUACAAACUGGCUCAUUCUUUAUUGAGAAACGUCAUUGCAUUGGGUAUGGUUCUU
Papaver somniferum (opium poppy) is the source of this 339-nucleotide long non-coding RNA. RefSeq lists it as uncharacterized. The transcript is spliced from 3 exons. The record is from RefSeq and is a predicted model, not a curated record. Lineage: Eukaryota; Viridiplantae; Streptophyta; Magnoliopsida; Ranunculales; Papaveraceae.